GUGAGGAAUAUUGGUCAAUGGGCGAGAGCCUGAACCAGCCAAGUAGCGUGCAGGAUGACGGCCCUAUGGGUUGUAAACUGCUUUUACACGGGGAUAAAGUGUGCGACGUGUCGUUCAUUGCAGGUACCGUGCGAAUAAGGACCGGCUAAUUCCGUGCCAGCAGCCGCGGUAAUACGGAAGGUCCAGGCGUUAUCCGGAUUUAUUGGGUUUAAAGGGAGCGUAGGCCGUCUGUUAAGCGUGUUGUGAAAUGUAGAUGCUCAACAUCUGAAUUGCAGCGCGAACUGGCAGACUUGAGUGUGCGCAACGUAGGCGGAAUUCGUGGUGUAGCGGUGAAAUGCUUAGAUAUCACGAAGAACUCCGAUUGCGAAGGCAGCUUACGGGAGCACAACUGACGCUGAAGCUCGAAAGUGCGGGUAUCGAACAGGAUUAGAUACCCGGGUAGUCC
RNAcentral lists this ribosomal RNA (445 nucleotides) under uncultured bacterium. RNAcentral describes it as "partial 16S ribosomal RNA". It matches the Rfam family "Bacterial small subunit ribosomal RNA", at positions 354 to 796 of the family's 1533-position model. The record is from RNAcentral.